GAGCCUCUCUCUCUCUCUCUCCCCUCCCUUGUCUCCCUCUUGCCGCUGCUCUUCUCCAGUGCAACACCGCCGUCUCCGGCCACCCCAGACGACGAGACCACCGCCAAAUGAUCUCCUCCUUCUUCUCUUCAAAACCCAGUAAAAAAAUUCCAUAAACAACCCCGGAUCCUUGGAGAUCGAAAUUGAUGAACCCCAUUGUGUUCAUCAAAAUUCGGCGAGCUCCCGCGGCUACGAUGACUGUGAGGGGUAAGGUUCUUCUCCUCCUUCCUUCUUCUUCGACUCCAUGUCUUAAAGUCUUUGAAAUCGAAACCCUAACCCCCAAUUUCUAUUCUCCGGCAAAUUGUUGAGUUCCAGCAAAUCCCUCACCCAUCGAGUUCUUAUGUGCGCUGUUGUGCCCCGCCGCCUUCACGGCGUAUGGUUUUCCCUUCUCUGACGUCGAGUCAAUCUCCUGGUGUGCUUAUCCGAGUGUUGGUGUUGUGAGGGAGCAGCUGCUGCUCAUAUGGAGGGAUGUCGUGGCUAGGGUUCUAGCUGGAGACUUCCCAGCUCUUCGAUCCAUCUCCUAAAGGUAACCCUUCGUUUCUGAGGUUUCUGUGUUAGCUAUAAACUUCUGGGUUAUUGUUGUUGAGUGUUGUGGAACUUAAAUGUCAAUGUUCUGAUUUUGCUAGUUUGGUUGUUGUUUGUCGAUAACUUGGAGAUUGGAAGAUAUAGGGAGGCUAUGGCGAAAUUUUGGCAAGUCGCCGGAAUCAGGUGGAGUUUUCCGGCAGGUUUCCGAAAUCCGGCGAGUGAUUCCAGCGAGGGCAGAAUCCUACAGAGAUCGUAGAGCUUAUAGUCAGGCGUGGGAUUGACUCAAGGACAUGGAUAUUUGGAGGCGGCGCUCGAGGAGUGUCCCGAGCGAUGGAAAGCUUAAGCUUAAUACUGUGAGUGGACACUUUAGUUUUUAAUAAAUAUGCAUACAAGAUUUUAUAAGUUAACAUUUUAUUUUCUGAGCUUAUAUUAUAAUUUUGGUUUAUGAAAUGAUCUUGGAAUUUAUUUGAGUUUGAUGCAUUGAUUAAGUAAUGGUCAUGAUUUAUGGAUUUGAGCUCGGGUUAUUAAUUUGGUAUUUAAGUUUUGAUAUACCUUAUGACUUCCGGAUCUAUUUAUUAUUAUUUAUUUGUUAACUUUGAGAUUUAUAAAAGAUUACCGAAAAUAGGAUUUUCGGUAGUUCUCCAUCAUAAUUUACUCAUUUAUUUGUGGCAUAAUGAUUUUGACAUUGAGAAUAUUUUAGCGAGUAUUUCGAGUGGAGAUAUUAUUUACGAUUUAUACUUAAUAAUGAAAUCUCGCUUGUAAUUAUUAAUUUGAGAAUAUUAUGAUGUGUGAGACAUGUCAUUGAGUUUUAUUGUAAUUUCUUAUGAUAAUUUCCAAGUACGAUUGGGUACCGUACCAUUCGCAUGAUCUUAGGGAAGUUUUAUGGAUUUAAGUAAUUUAGUAUGAUUUUAGUCACCAUACUAUAGGGUCGCUCUUAUUCAUUAUUAGCUAGCCUUUAUUAGCGGUCCUCACCAUAGCUGAGUCGAGUGCUUAGCGUGGGACGCUAUUAUAGCUUGGGAGGUACCGAUGGGUUAUUAGUAUUCAUUGCUAGCUAGCCUUUAUUAGCUGUCCUCACCAUAGGUGAGUCGAGCGUUUAGCGUGGGACACUACUAUAACUUGGGAGGCACCGACCCGAGCUUUGGAGGCUCCUCGUACAUGGUGAUAUCUCUUCCUCUUGUUUUAUUUUCUUAUUUAUGUAAUUGAUUAACCAGCGGGGCUGGUUUGUCUCUGCUUACAAGAUUUCAGUAUUUGAUUAACCAGCAAGGCUGGUUUGUCUAUUCUUGUGGUUUUGGAUUUAAAGUUUUAUGGACGAUCAAAGUUGCGUGCAAUUAAGUUUUUUUUUUUUAGUUUAAACGUGGGAAAAUAUUUAAAUUACGUUUUGUUAAAUUAUUUAAUUUAUUUUUGUUCACUCAUUCUAACGUUUUAAAUUACUUUCACUACCAGGACAAGCAUUUUAGCUGACGAAAAAGUUUCGUUUAGUAUAAUUCGUCGGCUAUGGUUUCGUCGGGAAAACGUCGUCGGCGAUGACUUUAGCCGACGAAACUAGAAGACGUCGUCGGCUAUCGUCCUAGAAUUUAGCCGACGAAAAAGACAUCGUCGGCUUUUGUCUCAAAAUUUAGCCGAUGAAUAGCUUAAAUGUUUCGUCGACCGUAGUCUGAGACAUUAGCCGACGAAACAUUUAAUAUAUUCGUCAGUUAUAGUAUGUAAUAAAAAAUUAAAAAAAUAACUAAAGUCGACGACAUAUAGUCUGUUUCGUCGGGUGUAGAAGGGUUUAGCCGACGAAACAUGCCAUAAUUCGUCCAGUGGGUUCGCAACUCGUUCUUUCACUCCUUGUACCUACAGAUACAACAAAAAUAUUAGAAAGAUUAUUAAUAUCAUAUACAAUUUUGUUUUUUUAUUAACUUCCCAACGUAUCUUCCCCCAUGCACAAUGUCCGCCCAGCUGUUCUUCAGGUGCUCGGGAACGUCAAAUCACACCUUCAUUUAACCGUUUAUUAGUUUAGUUUUGCGAGAAAUCAACAAUGUAAUACAUAAUAUUAUCGAGGCAUUUUGUAAACUCACCGACAUCGCGUUGUGGACCAUGUCCUUAACCUCCUGCGGGACCUCGCCCCAGUCUGACCACAACAUAGGGACUCUAUCCCUAAUGAGCGCUCCCGCGCGGCCGGAGUACGUCCUCAACUUCCCGCCCGAUACUAUGUGGUCAUCCCUGUCAGUAUCGAUGACGAUCCUCCCUGAGGUAUUGACGGUCUUCUCGAGAGCCUUCCCUGUAACGGGGCCUCUCUUCUUUGUCGGCUUCGCUCCAACGGUGGCUAUCACAUGAUAAACCAAAUUGAUUAUUAAAAUUGGAGACCUUUUAUUAUUAAUUAUAAGAAAACAAAUCAUUCAUCUUUCAUUACCUGAGGGUGAUGCGGCGGACGCGACGGAUUCCGUCUCUGUCGCCGAUGAUGAUAUCCUCGCGGAAAUAAGAGGCGUAUCAAAAGGCACGAACCGGUACGUUGCUGGUGGAGCCACUGGCGGGGGCAGUGGAUAAAUCAGCGUCACUGAGCCAUCGACUGCAGGUAAGGCCGGUAUCAUCCGUGGAAGGAUCAGAUGAGGCGGCGACAUCUGUACCUCAAAUGACCCACUAUCCCAAGAAGUAGGACCCGAAGUGGGCGUCCGGUGUAUCUCAGGUAUACAGGGUGCAGACGGAGUCUGAGGCCACAACUGCCUCGAGAAAUGAGGGACGUCCGGCUGCCUCGAUGAAGGGGGCACCUCCCGCUGUCUUGAGGAAUGGGAAACGCUCGGCUGCCUAUGCGCCGUCUCCAGAACGGUCGCAUGUUUAGCUGUCAUGGGGCCUCGAAAUGACGUUUGAGGGUUGCUAGAGGUUCCCUUAGAUGAUUCGGAUCUUUGGCCCUUCAUAACUCUACAUUACUUGUACAACUAUAUUUAGUAAAGAAGGUAAAAACCAAACAAAUUUCCAAAAAGUAAAAAAGAAAAAUUACUCUAUUUUUUCACUUUCCGAUUAAAGACAAAAUACAACUGGGUCCCCCUUAAAAAUCCAAGAAAGCUAAAACUUGUUGAACACAGGUUCAGUCCUCAUUAUCACACUCAUGCUCUCUCACUAAAACCAAAUCCUAGCCGUUGGUUUCUCUCAUCUCCCCCUAUCCAUGACCCAUAUGUUCUCCAAGUCGUGAUAAACUAUGUUCGAUUCAGUUCCCAGUUCCAUGUAAACAAGUAAUGAUGAUUUGCCUACAUCUGAUCAAAUCUAGAAUACUAUAUGUUUAAUUUUUUUUUUCUUUCGAUUUGUUUUAAACAAUUUGUUAAACAUGAUUUAUGUAUAUAUACGUUAGUUUGAUUACAUGCCCUGCAUUUUG
This 3916-nucleotide long non-coding RNA is filed under the name Fragaria vesca (wild strawberry). RNAcentral describes it as "long non-coding RNA (FVES_LNC001360)". Lineage: Eukaryota; Viridiplantae; Streptophyta; Magnoliopsida; Rosales; Rosaceae. The record is from RNAcentral.